This 514-nucleotide ribosomal RNA is filed under the name uncultured bacterium. RNAcentral's name for it is "bacterial SSU rRNA". It matches the Rfam family "Bacterial small subunit ribosomal RNA", at positions 15 to 518 of the family's 1533-position model. The record is from RNAcentral.
GAUUCUGGCUCAGGAUGAACGCUAGCUACAGGCUUAACACAUGCAAGUCGAGGGGCAGCAUUAUCGAAGCUUGCUUGAUAGAUGGCGACCGGCGCACGGGUGAGUAACGCGUAUCCAACCUUCCCCUUAGUAGGGCAUAGCCCGUAGAAAUGCGGAUUAAUACCCUAUGUUGUAUCAUGAGGACAUCUGAAUAAUACCAAAGGUUCACCGCUAAGGGAUGGGGAUGCGUCUGAUUAGGUUGUUGGCGGGGUAACGGCCCACCAAGCCAUCGAUCAGUAGGGGUUCUGAGAGGAAGGUCCCCCACAUUGGAACUGAGACACGGUCCAAACUCCUACGGGAGGCAGCAGUGAGGAAUAUUGGUCAAUGGGCGAGAGCCUGAACCAGCCAAGUAGCCGUGCAGGAUGACGGCCCUAUGGGUUGUAAACUGCUUUUAUACAGGGAUAAAGUCGGGGACGUGUCCCCGUUUGUAGGUACUGUAUGAAUAAGGACCGGCUAAUUCCGUGCCAGCAGCUGC